UACGUAGGGUGCGAGCGUUAAUCGGAAUUACUGGGCGUAAAGGGCUCGUAGGCGGCCAACUAAGUCAGACGUGAAAUCCCUCGGCUUAACCGGGGAACUGCGUCUGAUACUGGCGGGCUUGAAUCCGGGAGAGGGAUGUGGAAUUCCAGGUGUAGCGGUGAAAUGCGUAGAUAUCUGGAGGAACACCGGUGGCGAAGGCGGCAUCCUGGACCGGUAUUGACGCUGAGGCGCGAAAGCUAGGGGAGCAAACGGG
Molecule: ribosomal RNA, 253 nt
Filed under: uncultured bacterium
Lineage: Bacteria
Description: partial 16S ribosomal RNA
Rfam family: Bacterial small subunit ribosomal RNA
Source: RNAcentral